AUUUGUUUGUCUUUUUUUGUGAAUAUGUACACAGAUGACGCCUCCUGUAUUUGUCCUCUUCCCUCUCUCCAAGGCCUGGCAAAGUCCUGCUUCCAGCCUUUCCAUGAAGCACACUGGAUGCUGCCAUUGGCUCCCUGCACUGCCUUAUUUCAGCACCUGUGGCUCAGGCUCCCUGCUCGUGGAGCUGGGGCUGACUGUGGGGAAGCAGCUGCCAACAGCUCUGUCUACCUCUGGAUCGGCCAGGGUCGGUGCUCUCCACAGACGUAGCUUGUGACAAAGUGGCUGGACGCUGCCAGAGAAGGAGCAAUGUUAUUGGAGAGGGAUGGAGCCAGAGCAGCAGGAGAGAGCCACUGGGCUGUGCUGAUGGGAGGAGGAGACAUGGAAAGGACAGUGCCCCGGGAGCCACCAGCCGUGAGGGUAAGAUGUUUUAAUGGAGGGACAGGGCAGGCAGUGCUUGGAUGGCACAGGUAGGCCUGGCACCAGGCAGGAUUUUAUUGUUUGAUGAAGGUUCACUGCCCUUGAUUCUUCUCCUUGGGCUUGUACUUAGUGAUUGUGGGAGAUAAGGAGGAUGAAGGGGAGGCGCUUGCUCUUUUUCCUGAAUGAUAAAGCUGGGAGCUGGCGAUGGCUUUGGGAAUAUGGGGAAUAUGGGCAAUCAGUUCCCAGAAAGCUAUUAGGGUAAAAGAUUGUCAUGUUAUAAACUUCUAAACCACAGAUGAACAGGCUUGAACAAACUGUUAGAACACCUAGUGUUGAUUAUUGAGAGUGUUUCUGCAGUGUGUGACUUGGCGUGGUUCGUUCGUGCUGUCCCUGAGAACAGUGACAUUUCAGAUUAGCAGUAUUUUGGGGUUCCACUUGGAAAGAGCCCACCCCUCAGCUGACUGGUGCUGUCCUCCACUGGGUGAUUUAAUGGUCAGGCAUGCUUGGUCGAGGGGAAGCAGCAUCACGGCAAGGCACCUGUACCCAUCUGCCAGUUUGGAUGAAGGGCCAAAUCACAGGGUCAGUAAUGCUUCUUGGCCAGAGAACAUGAGCUGAGCAGCUGUCCCUGCCUGCUAUCCAUGAGAGGUCCUCUUACCAACUCAGCCUCAGGGAGGGAGAGAGUCCCCUGUAGUCAGAACGGUAUGUGAGUGUCGCAGCUAGGGGCAGAGGGAGACCAGGGAACCUGCCCUUAGCCACUCACACAAGAUAUAAAUCCAGGAAGCUGAAAGGGAGCCCUUUUAGGCCAGGAUGGAGGGUACUCCCAGCAUCCCCUGUGGCCAGAUGCAGGGGUCCUUGGAGCACUCAGGGACCACCCUAGGAGAAGAGAUGGGAGCUGAAUGUGUUAUAGUUAAAUAACUCCUAGAUUGCAGAACAUCUCCCAGCUUCAUUUUUCUGUUUUGUAAAAUGAAUAUAAAUGAGAUGAAGGGUGCAAAAUGCCCCAUAAACUGAAUAGCUUUAUAUGAAUCUAAGUCAUUAUUUGCCCUGAAAUUUUUCUAUUUAAUAUUUUUGUCAACAAUUUGGAGGCAGAUACUGGAUGUAGGCUUAUCAGAUAUGUACAGAAAAUAAAGCUGGGAGGGCUAGCUGAAACACAGGUAUGGAGGACUACAGGUUGCAGAAUCUGAAAGCUCAGCACUCCCCUGGCUUCCUUCCCCUGGAUGCCUUCUCUGUGUGACCCUCAGAAAGCACAGUGCCCCUAACAGAGCUCCAUUUUUUCGUGGUGUGGCUGCUCCUUCUCUGUAGUGGGUAGAGAGGCCAGGGAUACUCCUAAACACCCUACCAUGCUCAGGGUUUCUCUGUCUCAGCAGUAUUGACAUUGUGGACCAGAUCACGGUGUUGUGGGGACUGUCCACAUGGUGGUAUGGUAGGAUGUUUAGCAGCAUUCCUGGCCUCUACCCUGUAGAUGCCCGUAGCACUGCUGUUCCUCUCUUUGUGACAAACAAGUGUCCCUGGGGUACAAAAUUGUCCCUGGUUAAAACCUCUGCUCUAGAUUCAUCCUUUGCACUUCCCUGCCUGCAUGGUAGCUCCUCUGGUCAUGUCAAAGUUCUCAUAGUUCCUUAAAUAAACAAAGCUUUUCCACAUCUUUCCCAGAACUUUGCAUGCAAGAUCCCUUCCCACUGCUGCCCUUUACCACUUCAUAAAAUCCUGUGUGUCCUUGAAAACUCAUCCCAAGCAUCCCUUCCUUGCAGAUGCCGUCCCAGAUGCUCCCAGACAGCUAGUGCACUCACAGCAAAGUUCUCCUGGAGCCCUGAGUGCAUGGAUUUUAUUUUUUUGCUUGGGAUAGUCACCCCCACUGGACUAUAAGCUUCUUGAAGGUAAAUCCUGGAUCUUUCUCACCUCUGCUCCCCAGUGCCUGGGAGGCAUGGCCUAGCACAGAGUGGGUGCUUAGUGAAUCCUCCUUGAGUAACAUUGCUUCAUGGAUCACUACUGGCUGGUAAUGGGACAUACAACGCUGUAGGCAAAAAGCAUAUUUUCUGGAUCUUAAUCACACGAAGGGUCCAGUACUCCACCCUCAGGUAGCAGAGCACCUUGU
Molecule: long non-coding RNA, 2506 nt
Filed under: Macaca mulatta (Rhesus monkey)
Lineage: Eukaryota; Metazoa; Chordata; Mammalia; Primates; Cercopithecidae
Description: lncRNA (ENSMMUG00000058899.1)
Source: RNAcentral